This 701-nucleotide long non-coding RNA is filed under the name Anas platyrhynchos platyrhynchos (common mallard). RNAcentral's name for it is "lncRNA (ENSAPLG00000018544.1)". Lineage: Eukaryota; Metazoa; Chordata; Aves; Anseriformes; Anatidae. The record is from RNAcentral.
ACGGGGACAAAGGAGAACGAAGCUGCCGCGGCUAAAGUUAGAGGGGACGUUAGCAGAGGGCUUUUUCGCAGGACUCGGAGCAACAUUUCUUUAAGGGAUGUGUCACUCUCAGAUGCAAAAGAGGAAACAGCUGCCUCUUUCAGACAUCGAAUAAGAACCAACCCCAUCCAGAAACAAGACCAAAUUUUUGGGCUCCAUGAAAACCAAGAUGGCUACCUUUCUUGUAGCAUUGGUAUUUUCAGUCUUUAGUCACUGUCAUCACUGCUUGCUCAAGAGGAAAGAGCUUACAUCUGCAGAAGAGGAUUCUUGCCGUACAUUCAGCACACGAGUGCGCAGCUCCUCAGCAGACCCUUACGGCUUAGGGUGAAGAACUGCUGGUGGUGCGCGUGCUGUCCGCUGCCUACGAACAUCUGCUACUUCGCAGCGCCGGCGUGCUCAAGGAUUUGACCUGUUGGAGCAGGCUGCUCGGGGCCGGCGCCCAGGCGGCUUCUGAUCUCCAAGGAAGGAGGAGACUCCGCAGCCUGCCCGGGCUGCCCCAGCCACUGCUCCGUCACCCGCCUCGGGAGAGCGCUCCCUGAUGCCGGGCCGGGCCCUCCCGUGUCCGCGGUGCUGGGCAGCGCCGAGCAGGGCCGGGCCCUGUCCCUCUGCCCCUCGCGUUUCCUCCGGAGCCCCCCGGCGCGGCCCCCGGCCCCCUCGCUUUU